GAAACGCCGCCCCUUAACUCUGAAGUUCCGCGAGUUUCUCUUUGGGCGCGGGAGGAUGAUCAACGCCGCCAAGUGGGGAAAGCAUGAACAUAGUCCCCCAUUACCACCACUUAUGCAGUCAAGUUUUCCACCUUUGGGGACAUCACAGGGGUCAGCACAUCCGGAGUCAGUAGAUGAGUCUCACCCUGGGAAAAACCACCUUCGUGAUCAUGGUAUCUUCCCUGCCAGAGAGAAACCAAUCAGCUUCAUUUUCAACUUCUUCUAUGACUCCAGGGGAGUCACUUUGCAUCUUGUGACAAAUGAAGAUAUUACCUGAAAAAAAAAAAUCACAGGAUAGAUAAGUUGAUGCACAGGGGGAAAGCGAAAUUCCCAGGAGUAAGACGUGCAAGAAGGAGGCCAACCUUGCAUUUCAGGGCUGAGUUCCCUAAACUGUGUGCUUGAAGGAAGUUCUCCCCUUGCAGACACACUGCUGAGUGAUAAGGAAGCACCUAGACUCCACUAUGACAGACUUGGUUCUGAGGCCUAUGAAAUGUUGAUGGGAAGAAGAGAAGCAGGAAAAUCUAUCUAUUCAAAUUUGCAAGAGGUGGAAACUUUAUUCACCUUCCUGGAUAGACUAUUCCAUUGUCAAAGUAAAGCUAAGGCCAUGGAAAAUGAGUUAUUUGAGAGUCUCUCGCUCCAAGGAAGAACAUGCUGGCCUAAUUGUCCCCUCAGUCAGGGGAGAGAAUUGUAAAAAAAACACUUAAACGGGCCUAAGUAAAGGUCCAGCACAUUAUUUAUUUAAGACUGAAUUAGGAUUGAGUCAUUCCAACUCUGAAAAAAGAAUGUUGUUGGAUUCCUAUAUAUUUGAUGGGACCGUCCCAUUGAAAACCAUUGUGAAGUCUGGUUUCCCAAGCACAAAAUGACACUUUCACUGUCAGUCUUUCUAGGAAUCUGGCAGAAUCCAGGACCAGGAUUAGCCUUAUUUUUUAAGCGACCUUAGGCUAACAGUGGCUCUCUGGGCCUCCAGACAAUUGGCCAGGGACUCUGAAAGCCGGAAACAAAGUUGAGAGAACUCCAGGCUGGUGGAGAAAAACAGGUGGCCUUCAUCACCAGAAUGUGCCCCAUAGAAGCAACAAAGCAGCAAGCGAGGUUCUUAAAUGAGGGCCUGUGGGCCUCGUCAAGAUCUGGAGGAGUCAUCUGCAACUUACUGCUGAGUGAGAAGGCUAGGCAGUGUCUUUAAGGUCCUGCCAGCUUUAACAUUGUAUGCUUUCUUUUUCUUUUGUUCAAUCUCUCACCACAACUGGAAGUGUUGCCUCAACUACACAGGAGAAAGUUUGCAGUAACUUAGAGAAAACAUUAUUUUAAUCACCAGCGUAUGUUCUCUGGCACCCUGGACAAAUCCGUCAGCAGUGGCAACACUGACCAGGUCCAGAUUGGGGCCGCUGCAGUGGAUGUGGAUCCAUUGAAACCAGGGGUCUUCAGUGCUCCUGA
This is a long non-coding RNA of Piliocolobus tephrosceles (Ugandan red Colobus), 1470 nucleotides long. RefSeq lists it as uncharacterized. The record is from RefSeq and is a predicted model, not a curated record. The transcript is spliced from 4 exons. Lineage: Eukaryota; Metazoa; Chordata; Mammalia; Primates; Cercopithecidae.